Molecule: ribosomal RNA, 752 nt
Filed under: uncultured Glomus
Lineage: Eukaryota; Fungi; Glomeromycota; Glomeromycetes; Glomerales; Glomeraceae
Description: SSU rRNA
Rfam family: Eukaryotic small subunit ribosomal RNA
Source: RNAcentral
GGCCUACCAUGGUGGUAACGGGUAACGGGGUGUUAGGGCACGACACCGGAGAGGGAGCCUGAGAAACGGCUACCACAUCCAAGGAUGGCAGCAGGCGCGCAAAUUACCCAAUCCCGACACGGGGAGGUAGUGACAAUAAAUAACAAUACGGGGUUCUUUCGGAUCUCGUAAUUGGAAUGAGUACAAUUUAAAUCUCUUAACGAGGAACAAUUGGAGGGCAAGUCUGGUGCCAGCAGCCGCGGUAAUUCCAGCUCCAAUAGCGUAUAUUAAAGUUGUUGCAGUUAAAAAGCUCGUAGUUGAACUUCGGGAUCAAUUUAUUGGUCGUGCUAUUGUACGUACUGGUAUUAUUGAUUCCUACCUUCUGACGAACCAUGAUGUCAUUAAUUUGGUGUCAUGGGGAAUCAGGACUGUUACUUUGAAAAAAUUAGAGUGUUUAAAGCAGGCUCACGCUUGAAUACAUUAGCAUGGAAUAACGAAAUAGGACGUUUGAUUCUAUUUUGUUGGUUUCUAGGAUCGACGUAAUGAUUAAUAGGGAUAGUUGGGGGCAUUAGUAUUCAAUUGUCAGAGGUGAAAUUCUUGGAUUUAUUGAAGACUAACUACUGCGAAAGCAUUUGCCAAGGAUGUUUUCAUUAAUCAAGAACGAAAGUUAGGGGAUCGAAGACGAUCAGAUACCGUCGUAGUCUUAACCAUAAACUAUGCCGACUAGGGAUCGGAUGAUGUUAAUUUUUUAAUGACUCAUUCNGCGCCUUACG